This 579-nucleotide long non-coding RNA is filed under the name Anas platyrhynchos platyrhynchos (common mallard). Its description in RNAcentral is "lncRNA (ENSAPLG00000018752.1)". The record is from RNAcentral. Lineage: Eukaryota; Metazoa; Chordata; Aves; Anseriformes; Anatidae.
UUUCCUGCUCAGUAUAAUUAUUUCAAAAGUAGAUAAGAAGUAUAUGAUACACGUGUACGAUAAUUAUUAGAAACUGCAUAUUAGCUGCCUUAGCACAGAUGUUCCUCAUGGUGGCAUUUACUUUUGUUAUUCCUUCCAGGUAGAAAAUUUAUUGCCUGUUGAUGUUAAUCUCUGACUCUUUUCCGUCUCUUCCAUGUUGGCUCCAGAAAUCAGGAUGUAAACCUUAGUUGAAGGUGCCUAAAAUUCCAGUCAGCAGGAGACAAGGCUCUCAGCACCUUGCAGGAUCCAGCUCACAGAGGCUACUUUUGGAGAAGCUUGUCUGCCUAUGUAUUCAACUGGCUGGAUGAUCUCUCAUCAGAUGGCUCCAUAUGUUAUUGCACAACCCAGAUAUUUCUGCUGUCAACUGCAGGUAGUGGAUGAAGUUGUAUUCCUCUUGCCUGCCUGGAGCAUCUCUGAAUCAAAUCCCAGCUGUUGCCUUUCCUGUGAGUAUGUGGCUAUUUCUUUUUACUUUGUCCUGCACCAGUGAAAUUUGGCACCCACAGGUGGUAUGACCAAUAAAGUUUAUCUAGAUAAGGUUCA